GGAGGGCCAUCAGGCUGAGCACAUUCCUCCUUGGGGAUCACCAAGGCUGAUGUGGCUGCUGGCUGGCUAGGCGAGUGUCCCCUUCCUGUUCCGGCACUCCACAGGCAUCCUGCUUGCCACUGUACGCUGGUCAACCGUCCCAGAGAGAAGGAAGAUCGUUCUUUGACUAACGGCUUACAAGUAGCUGCAUCGCCCAGCUAGAACCUCCAAAUGAUCUCUCAGAAGCAUCCUCAGGAGGAGCUGCAGAGAGGAGAGAGGGAGCAGCCCUCAGGGGGCUGUGCUGGGACCU
This 289-nucleotide small nuclear RNA is filed under the name Peromyscus maniculatus bairdii (prairie deer mouse). RNAcentral's name for it is "7SK RNA (ENSPEMG00000028218.1)". It matches the Rfam family "7SK RNA". From Rfam's summary of the family: 7SK was discovered as an abundant small nuclear RNA in the mid-70s but a possible function has only recently been suggested. Lineage: Eukaryota; Metazoa; Chordata; Mammalia; Rodentia; Cricetidae. The record is from RNAcentral.